GGCAACUGUUGGACAACAGCUGCAGAGAGAGUUACAGCGACAUCUACUCACUGUGUGCAAGAGGAGAAGGAGAGAGAAUGAGUCGUCUCAUCGGGUUGGUGGGCGAGGCCGGCACUGAGGAGAAGGAAGGGUUGGAGAGUUCCUGCCGUCUUCUCCACCAAGGCAUCGAUGACAUCAUGGAGGGUCGCACAGGGAAUCUGGCAAAGAGAAACACAACAGUAUAUCUAUAAAUUUAGGUCUUGUCGUGUGGUGACAGCCAGUGAACACCCGUCUCUUCCAGGACGAAGCAACAUGUUGCCACAGUCUGGGUGUCUCUCCAGCAGAGUUUCAGCUUCUGUUCUAGACACUGGACGAAAGCAGCUGCGAACACAAAAUGGCACAGACAGUGGCGAAGGAGGAGCUCGCGUCGGAGUACGGAUUCUCCGUCUGGACCUUUCUUUGUCCACCACCUCCUUCAGCAUCUGCAGUUGGCCCGGC
This is a long non-coding RNA of Cynoglossus semilaevis (tongue sole), 477 nucleotides long. RefSeq lists it as uncharacterized. NCBI's taxonomy places the organism in Eukaryota, Metazoa, Chordata, Actinopteri, Pleuronectiformes, Cynoglossidae. The record is from RefSeq and is a predicted model, not a curated record. The transcript has 4 exons.